CUCAGGACUGCAAAGUCAGGCUGCACUGAAACAACCUAAGGAAGAAUUCAGACCCCUGUUGUCCAAACACACGCAGACAGCACACACAAGUAGAAGAUCCUACAUCUGCUUGUUUUCCGUGGACAAAGCCCUCCCUUUCCCUGAGUAUGUGUGUGAAACAAUCUUUGCAGCUACAGAGCGGCCCGAUGGUAUUGAUCCAGAUGUGGAAAUUGGUAUUGACUGCUGUUGCUGCCCCGUGCACUUCUCCGGCUUUUAAAGACACAGCGUAGAGGUGAUUUCACUUUGCACAAGACAUAGUUCUGGAGACAUAUGCUGAAGCACACUAAAUACUACAAAUUAAACACUGGGUGUCAUAGCUGCUCCCCAGUUUAAAACAAGGAGGAGCCCCUAAGAAUCCAAACACAUGACCGUAGAAAGGAGAGCAAGACACUCCUAUCCAAAAAAAAAAAAAAAAAAAGAAGAAGAAAUUAUU
Molecule: long non-coding RNA, 472 nt
Filed under: Cavia porcellus (domestic guinea pig)
Lineage: Eukaryota; Metazoa; Chordata; Mammalia; Rodentia; Caviidae
Description: lncRNA (ENSCPOG00000038160.1)
Source: RNAcentral